AUAAAGAUAUAAGAGCGUAGAGUUCAUAGC
RNAcentral lists this ribosomal RNA (30 nucleotides) under Candidatus Phytoplasma citri. Its description in RNAcentral is "Candidatus Phytoplasma aurantifolia partial 23S ribosomal RNA". Lineage: Bacteria; Bacillati; Mycoplasmatota; Mollicutes; Acholeplasmatales; Acholeplasmataceae. The record is from RNAcentral.